GCCAUACAUUCUAUCCCACACUAGCAUUCACAUUAGUAGCAGUAUGCAAUUUCCACAAUAAAACUGGCGUAAUGAAUUCCUUUACAGGGCGAACACUUCAGGAUGUUCAGGUUUUUCCCUCUCCCUGGAUGGAGCAGUAAUCUGCUCUGCUGCAGACCUCUGGGCAGCAGGCAGGUGGACACGUCGUUUUGCACAAAACUCAGACUUCACCAGGUUCUGAUGCGGAGGCGCACGUGUGCAGGGCAGUGGGGCUGCACCCGACGGGCUGCGGUGCGGAGCACGCUGGGUGGUGGCACGGGAGCGCCGCUCAGCAUCCUGCUGGCGGCCUUGCUGAAGAGACACACAGCAGCAUCUUUGUGGGAGGGCAGCAACCCAGGAGACGACAUCACGGUGACACACCGCGGGACUCUUCAUGCGAGCCAAUGAUGUCUUUCUAGUUGCUUCUCCCCUAAAGAAAAGUUUGUAUUUAUGACUAUGCCUCCCUCCCCCCUCUGCC
Molecule: long non-coding RNA, 496 nt
Filed under: Anser brachyrhynchus (Pink-footed goose)
Lineage: Eukaryota; Metazoa; Chordata; Aves; Anseriformes; Anatidae
Description: lncRNA (ENSABRG00000018166.1)
Source: RNAcentral